GAUGAAGAACGUAGCGAAACGCGAUAUGUAAUGUGAAUUGCAGAAUUCAGUGAAUCAUCGAGUCUUUGAACGCACAUUGCGCCCCCUGGUAUUCCGGGGGGCAUGCCUGUCCGAGCGUCAUUGCUGCCCUCAAGCACGGCUUGUGUGUUGGGCUUCCGUCCCUGGCAACGGGGACGGGCCCAAAAGGCAGUGGCGGCACCAUGUCUGGUCCUCGAGCGUAUGGGGCUUUGUCACCCGCUCCCGUAGGUCCAGCUGGCAGCUAGCCUCGCAACCAAUCUUUUUAACCAGGUUGACCUCGGAUCAGGUAGGGAUACCCGCUGAACUUAAGCAUAUCAAUAAGCGGAGGA
Molecule: unclassified non-coding RNA, 347 nt
Filed under: soil metagenome
Description: partial contains 5.8S ribosomal RNA, internal transcribed spacer 2, and large subunit ribosomal RNA
Rfam family: 5.8S ribosomal RNA (bases 1-120)
Source: RNAcentral